CAGGAAGUGGCUGACCAAAUAUUCCUGAGAAUGACUGGGUAAACCUUGGUUGAGGUUCUUGCUUAGCAGGAAGGUAUCCACAUACCCAGACACCACCUCCUGGAACCACAAGCAGAGGGAAAACCUUUCCAGCAAUCUGUUGAGCACGGGUAUAUCAAACCCCUUUGCAUUGUGGGCAGCUAGCAGCAUGGGACCGUGGCCGUCCAAGUUGCUAAGAUAGUUGAGGAAGGAGGUGAGAGCAUGAUAAAUAGGCAUGGUCCCAACACAUCUUCCGCGCAGAUACAGCUGGUCACAAUAGACGGUGAAGCCUGUCAGUCGACUGGCGGCUGGAUGGAUGCGCCGGCGGGGGAGGGUGUAGACAUUAAAUUCUUCAGUCUUCACAGACAGCCGAC
Etheostoma cragini (Arkansas darter) is the source of this 392-nucleotide long non-coding RNA. RefSeq lists it as uncharacterized. The transcript is spliced from 4 exons. The record is from RefSeq and is a predicted model, not a curated record. NCBI's taxonomy places the organism in Eukaryota, Metazoa, Chordata, Actinopteri, Perciformes, Percidae.